Molecule: long non-coding RNA, 416 nt
Filed under: Nicotiana benthamiana
Lineage: Eukaryota; Viridiplantae; Streptophyta; Magnoliopsida; Solanales; Solanaceae
Description: long non-coding RNA (NBEN_LNC008875)
Source: RNAcentral
AUGGUUACAGAAAGUUGAAAUUCAAUCCUGAUGAUCACCAAGAAGCAGCUGAUAGUACAUUGCCGCAGUCUCAGCCAUUGACAAGGGUGUGUAUUUUUUUCUGCAAUAUCCGGCAUGGAUGAUGAUAUUAUUUUAUUCCGUCAUAGUGGGUGACAGUCUCAGCCAUUGACAAGGGUGUGUAUUUUUUUCUGCAAUAUCCGGCAUGGAUGACUCCCUCUGUCCUAUUUCAUGUGACUUAAUUUGUCCCUCUUUUUCAAGAUUUAACAAUUUAUGCUCAUAUUAACACUAGUGGAUUCAAAUUUGAAAAUGAAACUUGAACAAUUAAAAACUAGAUUAAGAAUUGUAUCCAUAAUAAGGAAUAUAGUAAAACUAUUGAAUAUAGAAUUUCUAAUGAAUCAUGAUCAAAAUCAUAUAGU